RNAcentral lists this ribosomal RNA (465 nucleotides) under uncultured bacterium. Its description in RNAcentral is "partial 16S ribosomal RNA". It matches the Rfam family "Bacterial small subunit ribosomal RNA", at positions 29 to 507 of the family's 1533-position model. The record is from RNAcentral.
ACGCACGCUGGCGGUGUGCUUAACACAUGCAAGUCGAACGGUAAGGCCCUUUCGGGGGUACACGAGUGGCGACCGGGUGAGUAACACGUGAGUAACCUGCCCUCAUCUCUGGGAUAACAGUCGGAAACGGUUGCUAAUACUGGAUAUGAGCUUGCAAGGCAUCUUGUGGGUUGGAAAGAUUUUUUUGGUUGGGGAUGGACUCGCGGCCUAUCAGCUUGUUGGUGAGGUAGUGGCUCACCAAGGCUUCGACGGGUAGCCGGCCUGAGAGGGCGACCGGCCACAUUGGGACUGAGAUACGGCCCAAACUCCUACGGGAGGCAGCAGUGGGGAAUAUUGCACAAUGGACGGAAGUCUGAUGCAGCAACGCCGCGUGCGGGAUGACGGCCUUCGGGUUGUAAACCGCUUUCAAUUGUGACGAAGCUUUUUGUGACGGUAGCAGUAGAAGAAGCACCGGCUAACUACGUG